RNAcentral lists this ribosomal RNA (207 nucleotides) under uncultured bacterium. Its description in RNAcentral is "partial 16S ribosomal RNA". It matches the Rfam family "Bacterial small subunit ribosomal RNA", at positions 567 to 774 of the family's 1533-position model. The record is from RNAcentral.
GUGCGUAGGCGGUUAGUUAAGUCUGUUGUGAAAUCCCCGGGCUCAACCUGGGAAUGGCAAUGGAAACUGGCUAGCUAGAGUGUGUCAGAGGAUGGUGGAAUUUCCGGUGUAGCGGUGAAAUGCGUAGAGAUCGGAAGGAACAUCAGUGGCGAAGGCGGCCAUCUGGGACAACACUGACGCUGAAGCACGAAAGCGUGGGAGCAAACA